Molecule: ribosomal RNA, 253 nt
Filed under: uncultured bacterium
Lineage: Bacteria
Description: partial 16S ribosomal RNA
Rfam family: Bacterial small subunit ribosomal RNA
Source: RNAcentral
UACAGAGGUCUCAAGCGUUGUUCGGAUUCAUUGGGCGUAAAGGGUGCGUAGGCGGCGCGGUAAGUCGGGUGUGAAAUCUCGGAGCUUAACUCCGAAACUGCAUUCGAUACUGCCGUGCUUGAGGACUGGAGAGGAGACUGGAAUUUACGGUGUAGCGGUGAAAUGCGUAGAUAUCCUAAGGAACACCGGUGGCGAAAGCGGCGUACUGGGUCUUUUCUGACGCUGAGGCACGAAAGCUAGGGUAGCGAACGGG